Molecule: ribosomal RNA, 253 nt
Filed under: uncultured bacterium
Lineage: Bacteria
Description: partial 16S ribosomal RNA
Rfam family: Bacterial small subunit ribosomal RNA
Source: RNAcentral
GACGUAGGGGUCCAGCGUUGUUCGGAAUUACUGGGUGUAACGGGUUUGUAGGCGGUGCGGCAAGUCGGGAGUGAAAUCUCUGGGCUUAACCCAGAGGCUGCUUCCGAAACUGCUGUGCUUGAGUGUGGGAGAGGCGCGUGGAAUUGCAGGUGUAGCGGUGAAAUGCGUAGAUAUCUGCAGGAACACCCGUGGCGAAAGCGGCGCGCUGGACCACUACUGACGCUGAGGAACGAAAGCGUGGGGAGCAAACAGG